Long non-coding RNA from Andrographis paniculata, 352 nucleotides. RefSeq lists it as uncharacterized. The transcript has 3 exons. The record is from RefSeq and is a predicted model, not a curated record. NCBI's taxonomy places the organism in Eukaryota, Viridiplantae, Streptophyta, Magnoliopsida, Lamiales, Acanthaceae.
AUGCAUAUAGAAAUAGAUUUAUUUUUACGUCGGUCCCGGGACAUGCAUGCAUUAAUUUUUUUGUUUCUAUAUUUUAUACUAACUUAUUUUCAAGUGUUUUUAAUUUGUAGGUAAAGCUUAUGUGGAGACGAGGGGAUCCGCAAAGAUCCUUCGAUCUCGAUUUCAAAUCCAAGGUAAGUGAUUUUAAUAUUAUUUUUUUGUUUCCUAUACAUAUAUACUAAUAUCAAUUUUAAAUCUUUUUAGAUGCAUACGAGAGGGAGUGGCCGGAUGAUCGGACGACCGAAUACAUCAUAGGGAGUAAUCCGUCCCUUUCCUUUUACAUUUAUGCAUUUUAUUUAAUUUAGCAUUAUGC